Podarcis lilfordi (Lilford's wall lizard) is the source of this 71-nucleotide non-coding RNA. NCBI's taxonomy places the organism in Eukaryota, Metazoa, Chordata, Lepidosauria, Squamata, Lacertidae. The record is from the annotation of a GenBank genome assembly.
UGAAUAGCUCAGAUGGUUAGAGUGAGGUGUUGAUAGCGCCAAGGUUGCAGGUUCGAUCCCAGGUGGAACAG